AUACGUAGGUGACAAGCGUUAUCCGGAUUUACUGGGCGUAAAGGGCGUGUAGGCGGUCUUGCAAGUCAGAAGUGAAAUUCCUGAGCUCAACUCGGGCGCUGCUUCUGAAACUGCAGGACUUGAGUGCUGGAGGGGAUAGCGGAAUUCCUAGUGGAGCGGUAAAAUGCGCAGAUAUUAGGAGGAAUACCAGUGGCGAAGGCGACUCUCUGGACUGAUACUGACGCUGAGGCACGAAAGCGUGGGGAGCAAACAGGAUUAGAUACCCUGGUAGUCCACGCUAUAAACGAUGAGUGCUAGGUGUCGGGGGUCAAACCUCGGUGCCGCAGUUAACACAUUAAGCACUCCGCCUGGGGAGUACGGCCGCAAGGCUGAAACUCAAAUGAAUUGACGGGG
This 393-nucleotide ribosomal RNA is filed under the name uncultured bacterium. RNAcentral's name for it is "partial 16S ribosomal RNA". It matches the Rfam family "Bacterial small subunit ribosomal RNA", at positions 523 to 918 of the family's 1533-position model. The record is from RNAcentral.